RNAcentral lists this ribosomal RNA (433 nucleotides) under uncultured bacterium. Its description in RNAcentral is "partial 16S ribosomal RNA". It matches the Rfam family "Bacterial small subunit ribosomal RNA", at positions 29 to 507 of the family's 1533-position model. The record is from RNAcentral.
AACGAACGCUGGCGGCAGGCCUAACACAUGCAAGUCGAGCGAGGACUUCGGUUCUAGCGGCGGACGGGUGAGUAACGCGUGGUAAUGUGCCCUUCUCUACGGAAUAUCCCUGGGAAACUUGUAGUAAUACCGUAUACGCCCUUUUGGGGUAAGAUUUAUCGGUGAAGGAUCAGCCCGCGUUGGAUUAGGUAGUUGGUGGGGUAAUGGCCUACCAAGCCGACGAUCCAUAGAUGGUUUGAGAGGAUGAUCAGCCACACUGGGACUGAGAAACGGCACAGACUACUACGGGAGGCAGCAGAGGGGAAUAUAAGAAAAUGGGGGCAAACCUGAUGAAGCCAUGCCGGGUGAGUGAUGAAGGCAUUAGGGUUGUAAAGCUCUUUCAGAUGGGAAGAUAAUGACGGUACCAGCAGAAGAAGCACCGGCUAACUCCGUG